UUCCCUCACCCUAAUUCCUAUCAGUGGGCGGCUGAAUUCAGAGACACAAAACCUGGGUGUGUGGAUAGUUGACCUUUCCUUGUCUUUCCUGUGUGUCUUAGUUUCUUUUCCUGUUGCUUGCGAAAUAAGGAAGGGCCCAGGAACAAUGGAAAUGAAGGAAUGAGCAACAGCAGCAGAAGCCAUCCAGAACUCAGAGACCAGUGAGGAUGCAGAUAUGCUCUAUGAAGAAAAAGAAGAGAAAUUCUGGUUCCAAUGUGAGCAGAGGGCACAGGGAGCCCAGAGGAAGGACCUGGAGGUCUCAGACUUAACUGUGAGUGGCACCCUCUGCUGACUAAUUAAUGAACAGAGCCUGGGGGA
This is a non-coding RNA of Peromyscus maniculatus bairdii (prairie deer mouse), 357 nucleotides long. The record is from RefSeq and is a predicted model, not a curated record. NCBI's taxonomy places the organism in Eukaryota, Metazoa, Chordata, Mammalia, Rodentia, Cricetidae.